GACGUUCAAAUUAUUCUUCAAUUAUAUCAUAAUUAAUAUUUGUUAUUGGUAUUGAGAAAAGCUAUAUAGGUCAACAUCCUCAAUAGGUUUAAGCUUUUCAAAGUAUUAAUAUUUUCAGAAAAUGAAAUGUAAAAUAGUUGGAUGAUUGUAGGAUGAAGCUUUUUAUUGUCAUGUGAAGUACUCACUUAUCACGAGUUAUAGGAUACCCACAUUUUGUAUAUUGGAUCCUAUAAACUACAUGUCCGUCAGACAGGAUUCACCUGACCCCGAAUUUGCCUUAUUUCAUGGAUGAAGAUUCAUUUUUGUGGUCAAGUCCGUAUCGCGGAUUCGUUAAGCUUUAGGAUAACUGUCUGUUGUUAUGAUUGUGAGGUGUACAUUUUCGACUUCUGCAAGGUUUCAAAUAACAUCGAACUCAUUAUCAUGCAUCAUUCGGCAAUGCUCGUUUUAUGUUGUCUAGCCUUUUGGAUAUAUACCUGACUGUAUGCUAUAGCGCCAUGGUAUUUCGUGUAUGGUGUACAUGUCUGUCUGCAUGUUUCAUAUAUGACCAUGAUGACGUCAAUUGUAUUUGAUAUAUUGAAUGAUAGUAAGAUGUCUAUGUCUGGCUGUCGGUCAGGGUUCAUAUACUUUUGACCUUAUGUUUCGAAUUAAUUGGCCAAGCAUAACUUUUACAUUUGUCAGUUUCUAAGGCACUGUAAGGAUCGGAACACAUUUAUUUGGUCUACGGGAUAUUUGUAGAGAUCUGUAUGUCAUGGUUCAUCUGACCUUGCACUCUUUUUAUGAACCAUUGACAAUCAUAAUUUAAAAAAAAAAGAUGUGGUAUGAUUGCCAAAGAGACAACUAUCCACAAGAGACCAAAAUGACACAGACAUUAACAACUAUAGGUCACCGUACGGCCUUCAACAAUGAGCAAAGCCCAUACCGCAUAGUCAGCUAUAAAAGGCCCCGAUAUGACAAUGUAAAACAAUUCAAACGAGAAAACUAACGGCCUUAUUUGUAUAAAAAAAAUGAACGAAAAACAAAUAUGUAACACAUAAACAAACGACAACCACUGAAUUACAGGCUCCUGACUUUGGACAGGCACAUACAUAAAUAAUGUGGCGGGGUUAGACAUGUUAGCGGGAUCCCAACCCUCCCCCUAACCUGAGACAGUGGUAUAACAGUACAACAUAAGAACGAACUAUAAAAAUCAAUUGAAAAGGCUUAACUCAUCAGAUGGACAAAAAUACAUUAAGCGCAUUAAGCGCAUUAAGCGCAUUUGACACUUCUAGUAAAACCCUUGAUAUUAUAGACGUUCCAAAAAUUAACUAUCAUAAGUAAAGCAGACGAGACAUUACAGCAUUUGCGCUCUGGUAUUCUAUAGUCUGUAGUAUAUAGUUAAAUCAAUCCACAUCUGCGUUGUAUAUACAGAACUUAAGAAAGUACUGUUGCACAAAAUGUUGGUUAUCGUUCAAUCUCAAAUUACUCAUGAAAGAUGCUGUUUUGCUGUAAUUUUUUGUUUGAUGGAUAUCAUUUUGGUUUAAACGUUGCAUAUCCAUAUUAUUGGCUAAAUAGUGUCGGUCUGCCUGAAUUGCACUUGACCGAUUCUCAGAGCUGAAUCUUUCAAACUUAUUUAGAGACGUUUUUAGUUGUUGUUUUUUUUAACUUUCGAGGUAAAGUGUUGAAUAAAAAAAAAUAGCUUUAAUGUUCAUCCUUAUCAAAAUAGUUACAGGCUUCAACCAGUUGCAGGUUUAUCAAAUGGUAAAAGAAAUACUGAUUUCUGAUUACUAGUAAUAAGUCUGGUCACGCAUUAUCUUUCACGAUCAAAAUAAUGCGUUGCCUGAUCUUUCACGAUCAAGUUUGAUGGAUAUUCAACAAAUUCAAGGUUUUCAUAUACAAAUUAAUGCUUUUAAGAGAAGAACAUACCUUAAUUUUACUGUACUAUCAGAUACACCAAAGAUUAAAUUUCAAAUAUAUCACGAUAAACUGAAAUAUGAC
This 1974-nucleotide long non-coding RNA is filed under the name Mytilus galloprovincialis (Mediterranean mussel). The record is from RNAcentral. Lineage: Eukaryota; Metazoa; Mollusca; Bivalvia; Mytilida; Mytilidae.